Molecule: ribosomal RNA, 393 nt
Filed under: uncultured bacterium
Lineage: Bacteria
Description: partial 16S ribosomal RNA
Rfam family: Bacterial small subunit ribosomal RNA
Source: RNAcentral
AUACGGAGGAUGCAAGCGUUAUCCGGAUUUAUUGGGUUUAAAGGGUGCGUAGGCGGAUGAUUAAGCGUGAGGUGAAAUGCCACUGCUCAACAGUGGAACUGCCUCGCGAACUGGUUGUCUUGAAUGCUCCUGCCGUGGGAGGAAUGUGUGGUGUAGCGGUGAAAUGCAUAGAGAUCACACAGAACACCGAUUGCGAAGGCAUCUCACGAAGGGGUGAUUGACGCUGAGGCACGAAAGCGUGGGGAUCAAACAGGAUUAGAUACCCUGGUAGUCCACGCAGUAAACGAUGAUAACUAACCGCUGGGUCGUAGUGAUUCAGUGGCCAAGCGAAAGCGAUAAGUUAUCCACCUGGGGAGUACGACCGCAAGGUUGAAAAUCAAAUGAAUUGACGGG